Molecule: ribosomal RNA, 492 nt
Filed under: uncultured bacterium
Lineage: Bacteria
Description: partial 16S ribosomal RNA
Rfam family: Bacterial small subunit ribosomal RNA
Source: RNAcentral
AGUGAACGCUGGCGGUAGGCCUAACACAUGCAAGUCGAACGGCAGCACAGUAAGAGCUUGCUCUUACGGGUGGCGAGUGGCGGACGGGUGCGGAAUACAUCGGAAUCUACUUUUUCGUGGGGGAUAACGUAGGGAAACUUACGCUAAUACCGCAUACGACCUACGGGUGAAAGCAGGGGAUCUUCGGACCUUGCGCGAUUGAAUGAGCCGAUGUCGGAUUAGCUAGUUGGCGGGGUAAAGGCCCACCAAGGUGACGAUCCGUAGCUGGUCUGAGAGGAUGAUCAGCCACACUGGAACUGAGACACGGUCCAGACUCCUACGGGAGGCAGCAGUGGGGAAUAUUGGACAAUGGGCGCAAGCCUGAUCCAGCCAUACCGCGUGGGUGAAGAAGGCCUUCGGGUUGUAAAGCCCUUUUGUUGGGAAAGAAAAGCAGCAGGUUAAUACCCCGCUGUUCUGACGGUACCCAAAGAAUAAGCACCGGCUAACUUCGUG